This 483-nucleotide ribosomal RNA is filed under the name uncultured bacterium. Its description in RNAcentral is "bacterial SSU rRNA". It matches the Rfam family "Bacterial small subunit ribosomal RNA", at positions 28 to 507 of the family's 1533-position model. The record is from RNAcentral.
GAUGAACGCUAGCGGCAGGCCUAAUACAUGCAAGUCGAACGGAUAUAUGUUUUUCGGAAUAUAUAUUAGUGGCGCACGGGUGAGUAACACGUACAUAACUUGCCCUCAAGCGGGGGAUAGCCUUGGGAAACUGAGAGUAAUACCCCAUAGAAUUAUUGGACGGCAUCGUUUGAUAAUUAAAACUACGGUGUUUGGGGAUAGAUGUGCGUCUGAUUAGCUAGUUGGUGAGGUAACUGCUCACCAAGGCGACGAUCAGUAGGGGGCGUGAGAGCGUGGCCCCCCACACGGGUACUGAGACACGGACCCGACUCCUACGGGAGGCAGCAGUAAGGAAUAUUGGUCAAUGGAGGGAACUCUGAACCAGCCAUGCCGCGUGAAGGAUGACGGCCCUCUGGGUUGUAAACUUCUUUUGGAUGGGGCGAAAAAACGGGAUUUAUCCUGGACUGACGGUACCAUCAGAAUAAGCACCGGCCUAACUCCGUG